GUGCCAGCAGCCGCGGUAAUACAGAGGGUGCGAACGUUGCUCGGAAUUACUGGGCGUAAAGCGCAUGUAGGCGGACCUGCAAGUCAGAUGUGAAAUCCCCGGGCUCAACCCGGGAACUGCAUCUGAAACUGCAGGCCUUGAGUACUGGAGAGGGCGGCGGAAUUCCUGGUGUAGAGGUGAAAUUCGUAGAUAUCAGGAGGAACACCGGUGGCGAAGGCGGCCGCCUGGACAGUCACUGACGCUGAGAUGCGAAAGCGUGGGGAGCAAACAGGAUUAGAUACCCUGGUAGUCC
Molecule: ribosomal RNA, 292 nt
Filed under: uncultured bacterium
Lineage: Bacteria
Description: partial 16S ribosomal RNA
Rfam family: Bacterial small subunit ribosomal RNA
Source: RNAcentral